GUAGAUGUAGAGUAGCUUGGCACGAUCACAUCAGAGCAUACCAAUGGCCAAUGAGCGUGAUAGCCACUAUAAACAAGCAAUAAAUAUUGCGGUGAGACUGAGAAUCAAGGACGACGUUAUCUUCUGCAACUUUUGAAUCAUUUGGAAGCAAGAAACUAGAAAUCUGAGAAAAACCCCAUCAAGAAGAUGAGGCCAUCAAAUGGGUGAGCAACAAUAAAGGAAU
RNAcentral lists this unclassified non-coding RNA (223 nucleotides) under Hevea brasiliensis (rubber tree). Lineage: Eukaryota; Viridiplantae; Streptophyta; Magnoliopsida; Malpighiales; Euphorbiaceae. The record is from RNAcentral.